GAUGAACGCUGACAGAAUGCUUAACACAUGCAAGUCAACUGUGGCGGACGGGUGAGUAACGCGUAAAGACCUUGCCUCACAGAUAGGGACAACAAUUGGAAACGAAUGCUAAUACCUAAUACUGUGAGAGAGCUUUGCGUCCCAUUAGCUAGUUGGAGAGGUAACGGCUCACCAAGGCGAGGAUGGGUAGCCGGCCUGAGAGGGUGAUCGGCCACAAGGGGACGGCGACACAGCCCUUAUUCCUACGGGAGGCAGCAGUAGGGAAUAUUGGACAAUGGACCAAAGUCUGAUCCAGCAAUUCUGUGUGCACGAUGAAGUUUUCGGAAUGUAAAGUGCUUUCAGUUGGGAAGCGGUACCAACAGAAGAAGUGACUGCUAAAUACGUGCCAGCAGCCGCGGUAAUUC
This 404-nucleotide ribosomal RNA is filed under the name uncultured bacterium. Its description in RNAcentral is "partial 16S ribosomal RNA". It matches the Rfam family "Bacterial small subunit ribosomal RNA", at positions 28 to 526 of the family's 1533-position model. The record is from RNAcentral.